AGACCUGCAGAGGUGAGGAAGAGGGGAGACAGAUCCUAGACCUGCAGAGGUGAGGAAGAGGGGAGACAGAUCCUAGACCUGCAGAGGUGAGGAAGAGGGAGACAGAUCCUAGACCUGCAGAGGUGAGGAAGAGGAGAGACAGAUCCUAGACCUGCAGAGGUAAAGAGCAGAUCUCUGCAGCCCAGAUCAAGAUCCUAAAGAAACACUCUGAAGCUCUUCAGGUCUCCCCCAUCUCUCCCUCCACCCCUCUCUCUCUCCCCUCUCUCUCUCUCUCUCUCUCUCUGUAAUCUCCUCUCUCUAAUCCUCUCUCUCUCUCUAAUCCUCUCUCUCUCUCUCUAAUCCUCUCUCUCUCUCUAAUCUCUCUCUCUCUCUCUAAUCCUCUCUCUCUCUCUCUAAUCCUCUCUCUCUCUCUCUCUCUGUAAUCUCCUCUCUCUCUCUAAUCCUCUCUCUCUCUCUCUCUCUCUCUCUGUAAUCUCCUCUCUCUCUCUCUAAUCCUCUCUCUCUCUCUCUAAUCCUCUCUCUCUCUCUCUAAUCCUCUCUCUCUCUGUAAUCUCCUCUCUCUCUCUCUAAUCCUCUCUCUCUCUCUCUGUAAUCUCCUCUCUCUCUCUCUCUAAUCCUCUCUCUCUCUCUCUCUCUCUCUGUAAUCUCCUCUCUCUCUCUCUCCCCCCCCCCCUCUCUCUCUCCUCCCUCCUCUCUCAGGCCUUGUAGUCCUGGUCUGAAGCUCCUUGUUCCUGUUAAUCUCCAAAACAUUGUUUGCUCUUUAUCUUUUGUGGAGCAGUUUGUUUUUAAAAGAAAUAUUUCCAAACCGUUUUAAUCUGGUUUUGAUGACAAAAACACGUUUUUGCUAAUUAAAUUCCCCCAGGAUAUCUUGCCUCUUCCUCCUGUCUGCUGGCCUCUUCUUCCUCUGUCCCCUCCUUCCUGUCUCUCUCCCAACUGUGUGUCUAUUUUAUAUAGUUUCAAACACUUUCUUUCUCACACUUGUUAGAGAGAGAUAGAGAGGGGGAGGGAAGGAAGGAAGGAGAGAGAGGGAAGGAAGGGGAGAGGGAGGGAAGGAAGGAAGGGGAGAGGGAGGGAAGGAAGGAAGGGGAGAGAGAGAGGGAAGGAAGGGGAGAGAGAGAGGGAAGAAAGGGGAGAGAGGGAAGGAAGGAAGGAGAGAGGGAAGGAAGGAGAGAGGGAGGAGGGAGGGAAGGGUGGAAGGAGAGGAAGAGAGAGAGAGAGGAGGGAAGGAAGGAGAGAGGGAAGGAAGGAGAGAGGGAAGGAAGGGAG
This 1266-nucleotide long non-coding RNA is filed under the name Salmo salar (Atlantic salmon). RNAcentral's name for it is "lncRNA (ENSSSAG00000114340.1)". Lineage: Eukaryota; Metazoa; Chordata; Actinopteri; Salmoniformes; Salmonidae. The record is from RNAcentral.